AGUGAACGCUGGCGGUAGGCCUAACACAUGCAAGUCGAACGGCAGCACAGGAGAGCUUGCUCUCUGGGUGGCGAGUGGCGGACGGGUGAGGAAUACAUCGGAAUCUACUUUUUCGUGGGGGAUAACGUAGGGAAACUUACGCUAAUACCGCAUACGACCUACGGGUGAAAGCAGGGGACCUUCGGGCCUUGCGCGAUUGAAUGAGCCGAUGUCGGAUUAGCUAGUUGGCGGGGUAAAGGCCCACCAAGGCGACGAUCCGUAGCUGGUCUGAGAGGAUGAGCAGCCAAACUGGACAUGAGACACGGGCCAGACUCCUACGGGAGGCAGCAGUGGGGAAUAUUGGACAAUGGGCGCAAGCCUGAUCCAGCCAUACCGCGUGGGUGAAGAAGGCCUUCGGGUUGUAAAGCCCUUUUGUUGGGAAAGAAAUCCAGCUGGCUAAUACCCGGUUGGGAUGACGGUACCCAAAGAAUAAGCACCGGCUAACUUCGUGCCAGCCGCCGCUGUAA
Molecule: ribosomal RNA, 506 nt
Filed under: uncultured bacterium
Lineage: Bacteria
Description: partial 16S ribosomal RNA
Rfam family: Bacterial small subunit ribosomal RNA
Source: RNAcentral